CCGUGCCCCGAUGACUGGGACAACCCGAGGAAACUCGGGCUAAUACCAGAUGUGAUGUCCACACAUGAGUGUGUCCAUCAAAGGAAGCUUCGGCCUCCACAUUGGGAUGGGCCCGCGGCCCAUUAGCUUGUUGGUGGGGUAAUGGCCUACCAAGGCAACGAUGGGUAGCUGGUCUGAGAGGACGAUCAGCCACACUGGGACUGAGACACGGCCCAG
This 216-nucleotide ribosomal RNA is filed under the name uncultured bacterium. RNAcentral describes it as "partial 16S ribosomal RNA". It matches the Rfam family "Bacterial small subunit ribosomal RNA", at positions 125 to 334 of the family's 1533-position model. The record is from RNAcentral.